RNA transcript from Rosa chinensis, 1381 nucleotides. It is a transcript of the gene named proteasome subunit beta type-3-B, with no coding region annotated. The transcript has 6 exons. The record is from RefSeq and is a predicted model, not a curated record. Lineage: Eukaryota; Viridiplantae; Streptophyta; Magnoliopsida; Rosales; Rosaceae.
CUAAGCUAUAGCCCAUGAAAAUGUGUGGCCCAAGAAAACUAAAAAGAAAAAGGAAAAACAGAGUUUCUGCACCGUAGUCGAAGACUUGCUUUCCUGGUCCACUGCACUGUGUUAAUCGGAUCGCAAGGGUGUGAACAAAAUCGGCCCUUUAGCAAUUGUAUUGUCGGUUUCUUCACUCAAAGGGAUGCAGUGUACUUAUCUUUCAUGUCGUUAGGUUGCAAUUUACAUUUUACAUGGUACAAUCUAGAAGGAUGGUACAUUCAUUUUCAUGUUUUAAUUAUAAGUUUCCUAUCAGAGACUUAUGUUCCUCCACAAGCUGUGCCAACUGUGAGAAGAGAGAGAUAUGAAACCAAAGACUUGUGCCAGCCUUGUCUCUGCUAUUCUUUAUGAAAAAAGAAAAGAAAACAAAAAAAGGUUGGGUCCAUAAUUCAUUCAGCCUGUAAUUGCUGGAUUGGGAGAUGAACACAAGCAAUUCCUGUGCACUAUGGAUUCAAUUGGAGCUAGCAAAGGAACUAGCGAAAAUUUUUCAUGUUGCUGGCUCUGGGUCAGAGCCCCUUUAUGGUGCUUGUGAGGCGAUGUUCAAGCCUGAUAUGGUUUGUUGCUAUAUUCUUUCCAAACUGCGGAGCAAGAGGACUUGUUUGAGCCCAUAUCUGAAGCAUUGCUAUCAUCAGUAGAUCGUGAUUGUCUGAAUGAGUGGGGAUGCCAUUUCUAUGUGUUGUAAGCCUUUUCAUGCUCCUGAAUUUUCCUUAUAAGCAAUUUUAUAUGAGCUAUGUUGUAUAUACUAUGAGACCUAAUGAUCAAAAAAGAGGACUCUUGAUCCAGCAUAAUAUUUUAAUUUUACCUUUUUGUUUUCCUAUUCAUAAGUGGAAUUGAGCAGUAUAAGCUUCUGAAUUCAUUUCUUCCAUCUUCUUAGCAGCCUGAAAAGCAACUAGGUUUAUGUCUGUUUUGGCUGAAUUCAGCGAGGGAAAGAAUUUGUUGAUGCAAUGAAUUCAGACAAUAAAGCUCGUAUGUUUAUGUCCGCUUCGGCAUAAUGUUACGAAAGUAACUGAGUGUGACUUGUCCAGCAGCCACAUUAACACCAACUGAGGUAGAAAGGACUUGUAAGGCACAAUGGACUGACCUUACUGUAUAUGGCAAAUUCCUCGAAAUUUCUUCAAGUGGCUGCAUUUUCCCCUCUCAAGUUUACUUGACUUGAGCGGCCAUAAGCUGUUCUCAGUGAAGAUAUGCCUCUUGUUAUGUGUUGGCCAGUGGCUAGAGACAAACAGAUGGUUAGAUGAUUGAAUUUAUGUUGUCACCUGGAAUUCUGAUGCACUUCAAGUUAUACACUUUAGUAUGUUUUGAUUAUUCUUCAUUCAAUUACAUCAUUAGCCUCUGUUUUUAA